RNAcentral lists this ribosomal RNA (318 nucleotides) under uncultured Butyrivibrio sp. RNAcentral describes it as "partial 16S ribosomal RNA". Lineage: Bacteria; Bacillati; Bacillota; Clostridia; Lachnospirales; Lachnospiraceae. The record is from RNAcentral.
GGAGUUUGGGCCGUGUCUCAGUCCCAAUGUGGCCGGUCACCCUCUCAGGUCGGCUACGGAUCACAACCUUGGUAGGCCAUUACCCCACCAACUAGUUAAUCCGGCGCGGGCCCAUCCUGUACCGAUAAAUCUUUCCGCCCUAAGCCAUGCGGCUUCGUGCGCAUAUGCGGCAUUAACAGCCGUUUCCAACUGUUAUUCCCCAGUACAGGGCAGGUUACCCACGUGUUACUCACCCAUCCGCCGCUAAGAUAAGAAUCGCUAGGCUUCAACUUAUCUCCGCUCGACUUGCAUGUGUUAGGCACGCCGCCAGCGUUCAUC